UGAGCAGGCAGAACGAGAUAAGGCUGUGACAUGCUCCUAAGCUGCACCAGACAGGGUAUUUUACACCAAAUAUCUGGAGCAGACAUGAAUCAAAAGAACUUUCAGACAUAAAGGAGAAAAGAUUGACAAUAUCUGCUGGUUUGAGGUGCUGAGAGAGAGGCUGUCAUCGUUUACUGUCAGCUACACAAGGUCUCUAUGGCCCUCUGCAGCACUCACCUCAUCCUCAGCUUCCACCAGGAGAAGUGUCAGAUUGAUGGGAAGCCCUGCAUGAGCAAGGUGCAUCUCCAUGGAAAUCCACUGUGAUGAAAGAAUCUGCCACAGGAGAUGGAGAACAGAACAGCUGGGGCUCAGUGACACUGAGUGACACAGCUGAUGAAAUGGCAGCACUGGCCACAAGCACUUGGAGACAGACUGUAUUGCUGAAGGCUUCUCUGGUACCAACCAUGCCAGCAAGGGCCUGAAGUUAUUUUCUGCAAACAUGGGAAAAGUGAAUCAAAUUUCCAGCACUGGACAAUGAACAUUUCAGCUCAAAGUUAGCAGCACUGUAAACAAGCCAGGUCAGGCCCAGGAGCUCUCCUGAGGAUGGAGUCCAAGCUUUGAGCAGUGCUCCAGGACACUCAACCAGGCAAAGGUGCUGGUUAUUUUAGAGAGGAG
Passer domesticus (house sparrow) is the source of this 654-nucleotide long non-coding RNA. RefSeq lists it as uncharacterized. The transcript is spliced from 4 exons. NCBI's taxonomy places the organism in Eukaryota, Metazoa, Chordata, Aves, Passeriformes, Passeridae. The record is from RefSeq and is a predicted model, not a curated record.